CGACUCUCUUUUAGUUUUUAGACGACCUUUUUCGAAGGUAUACUUAAAGAGGGGCUUGCGGCACAUUAGUUAGUUGGUAGGGUAAAAGCCUACCAAGACUAUGAUGUGUAGCUGGACUGAGAGGUUGAACAGCCACAUUGGGACUGAGACACGGCCCAAACUCCUACGGGAGGCAGCAGUAGGGAAUUUUCGGCAAUGGAGGAAACUCUGACCGAGCAACGCCGCGUGAACGAUGAAGUAUUUCGGUAUGUAAAGUUCUUUUAUUGAAGAAGAAAAAAUAGGUGGAAAAACUAAUCUUGACGAUAUUCAAGUGAAUAACGCCCGCGGCAAACUAUUGUGCCAGCAGCCCGCGGUAAUACAUAGGGGGGCGAGCGUUAUCCGGAAUUAUUGGGCGUAAAGGGUGCGUAGGCGGUUUGGUAAGUCUAUAGUUUAAUUUCAGUGCUUAACACUGUUCUGCUAUAGAAACUAUCAGACUAGAGUGAGAUAGAGGCAAGUGGAAUUCCAUGUGUAGCGGUAAAAUGCGUAAAUAUAUGGAGGAACACCCAGAGGCGUAGGCGGCUUGCUGGGUCUUUACUGACGCUGAGGCACGAAAGCGUGGGGAGCAAACAGGAUUAGAUACCCUGGUAGUCCACGCCGUAAACGAUGAGUACUAAGUGUCGGGGAAACUCGGUACUGAAGUUAACACAUUAAGUACUCCGCCUGAGUAGUACGUACGCAAGUAUGAAACUUAAAGGAAUUGACGGGACUCCGCACAAGCGGUGGAUCAUGUUGUUUAAUUCGAAGAUACACGAAAAACCUUACCAGGUCUUGACAUACUCUGCAAAGCUAUAGCAAUAUAGUGGAGGUUACCAGGGAUACAGGUGGUGCAUGGUUGUCGUCAGCUCGUGUCGUGAGAUGUUAGGUUAAGUCCUAAAACGAGCGCAACCCUUGUCACUAGUUGCCAGCAUGUUAUGAUGGGCACUUUAGUGAGACUGCCAAUGAAAAAUUGGAGGAAGGUGAGGAUCACGUCAAAUCAUCAUGCCCCUUAUGAUCUGGGCUACAAACGUGAUACAAUGGCUGUUACAAAGAGUAGCUAAAACGCGAGUUUAUAGCCAAUCUCAUAAAAGCAGUCUCAGUUCGGAUUGAAGUCUGCAACUCGACUUCAUGAAGUGGAAUCGCUAGUAAUCGCGAAUCAGCAUGUCGCCGUAG
RNAcentral lists this ribosomal RNA (1188 nucleotides) under Candidatus Phytoplasma cynodontis. RNAcentral's name for it is "bacterial SSU rRNA". It matches the Rfam family "Bacterial small subunit ribosomal RNA", at positions 193 to 1365 of the family's 1533-position model. The record is from RNAcentral. Lineage: Bacteria; Bacillati; Mycoplasmatota; Mollicutes; Acholeplasmatales; Acholeplasmataceae.